RNAcentral lists this ribosomal RNA (430 nucleotides) under Fusobacteriota bacterium. RNAcentral describes it as "Fusobacteria bacterium partial 16S ribosomal RNA". It matches the Rfam family "Bacterial small subunit ribosomal RNA", at positions 355 to 776 of the family's 1533-position model. Lineage: Bacteria; Fusobacteriati; Fusobacteriota. The record is from RNAcentral.
UAGGGAAUCUUCGGCAAUGGACGGAAGUCUGACCGAGCAACGCCGCGUGAGUGAAGAAGGUUUUCGGAUCGUAAAACUCUGUUGUUAGAGAAGAACAAGGAUGAGAGUAGAAUGUUCAUCCCUUGACGGUAUCUAACCAGAAAGCCACGGCUAACUACGUGCCAGCAGCCGCGGUAAUACGUAGGUGGCAAGCGUUGUCCGGAUUUAUUGGGCGUAAAGCGAGCGCAGGCGGUUUCUUAAGUCUGAUGUGAAAGCCCCCGACGUAACCGGGGAGGGUCAUUGGAAGCUGAGAAACUUGAGUGCAGAAGAGGAGGGUGGAAUUCCAUGUGUAGCGGUGAAAUGCGUAGAUAUAUGGAGGAAAACCAGUGGCGAAGGCGGCUGUCUGGUCUGUAACUGACGAAGAGGCUCGAAAGCGUGGGGAGCAAACAGG